Molecule: ribosomal RNA, 375 nt
Filed under: uncultured organism
Description: partial 16S ribosomal RNA
Rfam family: Bacterial small subunit ribosomal RNA
Source: RNAcentral
GUAGGUGGCAAGCGUUGUCCGGGAAUUAUUGGGCGUAAAGCGCGCGCAGGCGGUUUCUUUAAGUCUGAUGUGAAAGCCCACGGGCUCAACCGUGGAGGGUCAUUGGAAACUGGAGAACUUGAGUACAGAAGAGGAAAGCGGAAUUCCACGUGUAGCGGUGAAAUGCGUAGAGAUGUGGAGGAACACCAGUGGCGAAGGCGGCUUUCUGGUCUGUAACUGACGCUGAGGCGCGAAAGCGUGGGGAGCAAACAGGAUUAGAUACCCUGGUAGUCCACGCCGUAAACGAUGAGUGCUAAGUGUUAGGGGGUUUCCGCCCCUUAGUGCUGCAGCUAACGCAUUAAGCACUCCGCCUGGGGAGUACGGCCGCAAAGGCUG